RNAcentral lists this ribosomal RNA (468 nucleotides) under uncultured bacterium. RNAcentral's name for it is "partial 16S ribosomal RNA". It matches the Rfam family "Bacterial small subunit ribosomal RNA", at positions 28 to 507 of the family's 1533-position model. The record is from RNAcentral.
GACGAACGCUGGCGGCGUGCUUAACACAUGCAAGUCGAACGGAAAGGCCCUGCUUUUGUGGGGUGCUCGAGUGGCGAACGGGUGAGUAACACGUGAGUAACCUGCCCUUGACUUUGGGAUAACUUAAGGAAACUGGGGCUAAUCCCGGAUAGGAGCUCCUGCUGCAUGGUGGGGGUUGGAAAGUUUCGGCGGUUGGGGAUGGAAUCGCGGCUUAUCAGCUUGUUGGUGUGGUAGUGGCUUACCAAGGCUUUGACGGGUAGCCGGCCUGGGAGGGGGACCGGCCACGUUGGGACGGAGAUACGGCCCAGACUACUACGGGAGGCAGCAGUGGAGAAUAUUGCACAGUGGGCGGAGGCCUGAUGCAGCAACGCCGCGUGCGGGAUGACGGCCUGCGGGUUGUAAACCGCUUUCGCCUGUGACGAAGCGUGAGUGACGGUAAUGGGUAAAGAAGCACCGGCUAACUACGUG